AACCCAGGCUGCCUCCGUCCCAGCCGAGCGCCGACAAAUCCGCCAACCGCUUAUCAAAUUAAACCGCCAUUAGCAGCGUAAACACACGAGCUGGCGCGUACGCUCACAAACACGACCUAGCGUCUCAACCAUGUUCACGCCAAAUCCCUCCUUCCUUCCUGCUUGUAAUUCCAGAGUCUUUCGCAACUCGCUUUAGUUGUCCGUCAACGCCAUGUCCGGAAGUGUGCGGCGGAUUAUAGAGAUUUGGAAUACUCAACUUCCCCUCAGGGAUGAAAAAGCAACGAGGUCCUUCUCUUCCCACAACUGUCCCGGCGACCGUUCGGCUGUCAAUCACUUCCACAACAUAAGAGGCCUGAUGACAUCACACAGGUUCUUAUGGGCUCGAUGGACAGACAGAUGGUCGUCAUAGCGAGCACUGCAGGUGCUCUGCCCCCAGGUGGAGACGGCGGGUGAAGUCACACAGGGGGGAUGCCAAGUUUGGAACAGGGGCUACAAACGGAGGGAAAAGGCCGUCAGAGGGAGGAGGAGUGUGAGGGGAGCGGGAAUGCGGCGUGUGUGUAUGGGGCGCUCCAGCGGAGGGGGCCAGGGGUCAACGCUGGGGACUCUCCCCUGAAGGCAAGUCGACUGCGAGCGGGUAAUAAUAAACGCUCAGCGUUUUGGAUUUCUGGGCCGGCGAGUCUGCUUUCAGGAAGUUAUUGCCGAAAGCUAAACACCAAUAGUUCAAUUAAAACAAUGAGAGCUAUUUGUUUUUAGUGCAUUGUUUUUGUUUAAGCAUGGAAAGUCGAAACAGCUAAAAAAAUCAUUGCAUCUAAAAAUGUACAGUACAUGAUGAUGCAUUUAAACGUACCAGACAAGGGACUAGAGAUAAUUUGAAAUAAAUAUAAUUUGAAGACAAUAUCGAUACAAAAAUAUUUAUCCUAAAAUGACCACUGAAAAAUGAUUGUUGCAUGCCUGCUUUAAACUAAAAUCAAUAACUGUCUUUGAGUGCAGAAAAUCCUAUAAAAUGGCAAAUUAUGUAAAGAAUAAUGAUGACAAACAAAUGAAGCAAGGCCUCUAGUAACACACAAAGGCGCGCGCACACACACACACACACACACACACACACACACACACGCACCCACACACACACGCACACACGCGCAUAAACACGCACAGCUAGAGUUUGGUCCAGCCUAAAUACGUCCAUUCCAGACGUUUAAUCCCAGGCUUCGCCGUGUUUGUUUUCGUGUUUACGGAAGAAUGGCAGCCGUCCGAGGACACAGCACGGAGAAAGGUCAAACCGCAAGACCCCCGGAAAGACUGGGCAAACAUGAUUAAAUUCUAAUUUGUUAUAGAAGGGAUGCCAUUUGCGAUUGCGCUGGUGAUGCAGGCUUCCCUUGAGGCUUGAAUCCAUUGCGAGCGCUCACGGUAUGAUGAAACGUGUGCUAGUGACGUUAAAACAGGGGUGGCCACACACAUUCUUUAAUUCGGCCCAAUUAGAAUUUACGUUAUCAUGAGGCCUGUAAUAUAUGUAUAUUUUUUAAAUCCACCAUUCAUAAUGACUAUAACCUACACCCAAAGGAAUUUUCUAAAUAUCUUUUUAAGAAGGGACUAAAACUAAAGGACUAAAAUAAUGCAGUUGUGCGAGUGGGCAUACUUUGAGGCUUUGUUUUGAAAAGUGGCUUAACGCGGUAUAAUUGGCACACAUCUCCACCCACAAGGAUGUAAACAUGGGAGGCCGAGAUCUUCAUCGGUGAGGAUGGAGACAACAAAGCCCGGCGCUGAAAGGUUGUUAAUCUGUGAUGGAUCUUUGGCUCGCCGACACGGCGGUGAUGGUGUCGGUCGGGAAUGUUGCCGCCUGCAUGAGGGGAACAUGUGUUGCUGUGUGCGCUAUGCGGUCCGUGCGCUCAUUAGUGCGAGCUGCAGUGCAGACUAGCUCCAGUUACAGUAGUAAACACCACCUUUGAAGUUUUAGUGGAGGCCCGAAAGCCGAGCAGGCCCGAGGAUGAAAAAAAAAGUGACGAAAGAAGGGGGGAAAUAUCGGGGAAGAGGCAAGAGGACAAUGGGGUCAUGUGACCAAGAGGUUGUUAACGCAAAUGAUGCACAACAUCUGCACCUGACACCCGCCCACCCCCAAAAAAUUAUUACAUUCAGGUGCGGGCCUAUUAGUAUAGUACAGCAUGAGAUUAAAUACGAAAACAAUUAUAUUAAAAUGCUAAAAGGCAGUCCUAUGAUAAUCCUUAUCUUGUCUUUAGAGUGUCAUUUACGUAAUUUUUCAAUAUUCACCGAAACAAUCAUCGGAAAAUACAGAGCUCAUUUGCAUGAUGUCAACGACAGCACAGGUAACAUUUUGAGAUUCUUUAUCUCAAUCAAUAUUACACACAAAAAUGUAAACCACUGUACAAAAAUGCAUACUUACACUUCUUGCAUUUCUCAGAAAACUGAAGUCAUUUCAUGAAAAGCCGAAGAAUUUCUGGAAAAGACGGAAUAACAGUGUAUAAGUGACUGCAGUGAAGUGGGCCUACUCCUAAAUAUCACAUUUGAAUGGAAAAGCUACCAAAAUAAAAUACAUUUAAAACAA
Syngnathus typhle (broad-nosed pipefish) is the source of this 2560-nucleotide long non-coding RNA. RefSeq lists it as uncharacterized. Lineage: Eukaryota; Metazoa; Chordata; Actinopteri; Syngnathiformes; Syngnathidae. The record is from RefSeq and is a predicted model, not a curated record. The transcript has 4 exons.